AUUGAACGCUGGCGGCAGGCCUAACACAUGCAAGUCGAGCGGGGUUUUCGGACCUAGCGGCGGACGGGUGAGUAAUGCGUAGGAAGCUGCCCGAUAGAGGGGGAUACCAGUUGGAAACGACUGUUAAUACCGCAUAAUGUCUACGGACCAAAGUGUGGGACCUUCGGGCCACAUGCUAUCGGAUGCGCCAACGUGGGAUU
RNAcentral lists this ribosomal RNA (200 nucleotides) under uncultured bacterium. RNAcentral describes it as "partial 16S ribosomal RNA". It matches the Rfam family "Bacterial small subunit ribosomal RNA", at positions 30 to 242 of the family's 1533-position model. The record is from RNAcentral.